UGGGGAAUUUUGGACAAUGGGCGCAAGCCUGAUCCAGCCAUGCCGCGUGUCUGAAGAAGGCCUUCGGGUUGUAAAGGACUUUUGUCAGGGAAGAAAAGGCUGUUGCUAAUAUCGACAGCUGAUGACGGUACCUGAAGAAUAAGCACCGGCUAACUACGUGCCAGCAGCCGCGGUAAUACGUAGGGUGCGAGCGUUAAUCGGAAUUACUGGGCGUAAAGCGAGCGCAGACGGUUACUUAAGCAGGAUGUGAAAUCCCCGGGCUCAACCUGGGAACUGCGUUCUGAACUGGGUGACUAGAGUGUGUCAGAGGGAGGUAGAAUUCCACGUGUAGCAGUGAAAUGCGUAGAGAUGUGGAGGAAUACCGAUGGCGAAGGCAGCCUCCUGGGAUAACACUGACGUUCAUGCUCGAAAGCGUGGGUAGCAAACAGGAUUAGAUACCCUGGUAGUCCACGCCCUAAACGAUGUCAAUUAGCUGUUGGGCAACUUGAUUGCUUAGUAGCGUAGCUAACGCGUGAAAUUGACCGCCUGGGGAGUACGGUCGCAAGAUUA
Molecule: ribosomal RNA, 549 nt
Filed under: uncultured bacterium
Lineage: Bacteria
Description: bacterial SSU rRNA
Rfam family: Bacterial small subunit ribosomal RNA
Source: RNAcentral